GCGGGUGCCUGUAAUCCCAGCUACUCAGGAGACUGAGGCAGGAAAAUCACUUUAACCUAGGAGGCAGAGGUUGCAGUGAGCUGAGAUUGUGCCACUGCACUCCAGCCUGGGCAACAAGAAUAAAACUUUGUCUCAAAAAGAAAAAAAAAAAGUGAAUGACUUCCCGAAAGCACCCCUAUUCCUCACCCUCUUGGGGGAGGACUCCAAAUUUAAGAAGUGAGGCACCUCCCCCAAAGACCUGCUGUUUUCAAGCUGCCUGCAUGUUCCCAGUCUGAAUGGGAAGUGCCAAUGCUCCCAUCCCCACAGCCACUCUGUGGCACACUCAGUGUCACCUGAGCCUCACAGACAGGCCCACAUCCGAGCAUCAGACGCAGCCCUGUAACAUUACAAGGGCCGUGAAAAGUCUGUGCACACUGACUGUGCUGCACUCAAGUCCUACAAAUGAUUCUCCAGUCUUUACAACAGACACCAGCACAGAAUGUGCAGACAGCGAGUGGGGCACACCAAAAACACAGAAAAGGAAAAGCAAAGCCCGAAGUUCCAGGCACAGGCUUCCUGUCAGGUGAGAGUCAUCAGCUCAUUCUGCCACACAACCAAGAGGCUGAAAAAGGCAAGCUAUGAGGCCUCAUUCUAUGCCCGUAAGCCAUUAAGGUCAAGUGGCCCCAUGUACAUCCGCAACACAAAUGGCCUAAACAUGACAGUGCAUGUAAAAAUGUAAACUCCAUGCAAAAAAUGGAUUGUGUGUUUUGCUUAAUAUUUUCUUCUAUACUGUUUAAGUUUCUCUCCAAUCAGAAUCUCCUGCUGGUAAAACAACAAACGGCCGGGCGUGGUGGCUCACGCUUGUAAUCCCAGCACUCUGGGAGGCUGAGGCAGGCAGAUCAUGAGGUCAACAGAUCGAGACCAGCCUGGCCAACAUGGUGAAACCCUGUCUCUAUUAAAAAUACAAAAAUUAGCUGGGCGUGAUGGCACAGGCCUGUAGUCCCAGCUACUUGGGAGGCAGAGGCAGGAGACUCGCUUGAACCCAGGGGGUGGAGGCUGCAGUGAGCCGAUAUCGCACCACUGCACUCCAGCCUGGUGACAGAGCGAGACCCUGUCUCAAAAACAAACACAAUAAACAUUCGCCCUGAGUUAUGCACUGAGGAAUUAUUUCAGGAAAAGUGGUUUGGGAACCUUCCUGGACAAUGAGCUGUCUCCAGGAGGAUGUGGAUACUUCUGGCUCCUACCUCUUUGAACUCCAAACAGACUCAACAGCCCCACCUCAAGAUGGCCUCUCAAGCUGAGUGUGGCCAGAGGCAUCUUCUACUUCCCACCUCCUCCCACUCCAAUACACCACACCCAGCCUUCCAACCUCACCAAGCAGCAACUCCGGGCCAGAAACCAGGAGACCAGCUUCAUUUCCUCCUCUGCACGCUUCACACACUACCAGCAAAUCCCAUCAGUUCUAUCCCAGAACUUUCCCCGACUCCUUGCACCCCUUACCUGGCUUAAACUGCCACCUCCUCCAUCUGGAUUUUCCCACCUAGCUCCCCAAGGUCCUGCUGCUUCUACUCCAGCCCAGCACGCUUGCCAAAGGGGAGCAGGCACCACCCCUCCUGCGUAAACAGGUGUCCAAUGGCCCCAUAGCACUCAGUAAGUAAACAGCAGUGCCCACACACAGCCUCCAACAGCUUGGAUCCCUUACCUGACUGCCAUGCACACACAGUCCUGCGCUGGG
Molecule: long non-coding RNA, 1714 nt
Filed under: Homo sapiens (human)
Lineage: Eukaryota; Metazoa; Chordata; Mammalia; Primates; Hominidae
Description: HSALNT0226134
Source: RNAcentral